Long non-coding RNA from Rhipicephalus sanguineus (brown dog tick), 874 nucleotides. RefSeq lists it as uncharacterized. Lineage: Eukaryota; Metazoa; Arthropoda; Arachnida; Ixodida; Ixodidae. The transcript has 5 exons. The record is from RefSeq and is a predicted model, not a curated record.
GUGUGUAUUGUGUGUUGUAUUUCGUGGUUACUGACGUAAGCGCAACUAUACGCGGUACCAGGCAAAUAGUCACCAGAUGCCGACCGUGCGACUUCAAUAUCUGCGACUGCUUUGUUCGGUGUGACCGACGGACGCGAUUCAUAGUUUUGAAGAACACCUUCAAAUGUUUCCGCACGUCAGUGAGUAGCAGCGCCGCAAUCCUUUGUCGACGACGCGUUCUGUCGCCCUGGAAAAUGCUUUGACGCUCGGGGACGGCCGGUAGCUCGGCGAUUCCUCGCUUGGCGCACCAUUGGAAACCGGCGGUCAUCUAGCAGUGUACGCUGCCAGCGUAUUUUUUAUUGCCAGAGGUAGCAAACAGCAGUGCCUCGACAAACAGUGGAGUGCUGACCAUGCAGUCCAGAAGGUGGCUGAGGCAAGUAUGCUAUAGGAGGUGCUUAUUCAGGCAGAAGAAAUAAGCAUCUGUAGCCAACGUAAAGGAAGCAUCUUCAAAAAGCAGUGCUACAAGGAUGUGAGCAGCAGUUUCCCUUCAACGAACGGGUCAAAUUCAUGGAAGCCACGUGCCUGCUGCUUCUGGCCUACACAAACAUGCAGCCACCAUAGUAAAGUUCUUGCAAAGACAUUCUACACGAACUUGCCCAAAGGCGGAAGGAAGGCACGCACAGAUGGACGCACAGAAAUCAUGGGGCUGCCGUAGAAGCUGUGAAUGAGCAUUAACCUACGUACAGAAAGGAGCGAAGUGGAGCUGUCCAUGGGCCAUGCACACAGUUUCAUAAGCAGGCUUGCAACACUUUUGACAAAUAUGUUCCUGAAUACAUCUGCCAAAGUGGCAUUUAAAGAAGCAUGUAGUAGUGUACUUCACUGUUUAUUUGGCAUG